AUGCACGCUGGCGGCGUGCCUAAUACCUGCAAGUCGCGCGAACGGACGAGAAGCUUGCUUCUCUGAUGUUAGCGGCGGACGGGUGAGUAACACGUGGAUAACCUACCUAUAAGACUGGGAUAACUUCGGGAAACCGGAGCUAAUACCGGAUAAUAUUUUGAACCGCAUGGUUCAAAAGUGAAAGACGGUCCUGCUGUCACUUAUAGAUGGAUCCGCGCUGCAUUAGCUAGUUGGUAAGGUAACGGCUUACCAAGGCAACGAUGCAUAGCCGACCUGAGAGGGUGAUCGGCCACACUGGAACUGAGACACGGUCCAGACUCCUACGGGAGGCAGCAGUAGGGAAUCUUCCGCAAUGGGCGAAAGCCUGACGGAGCAACGCCGCGUGAGUGAUGAAGGUCUUCGGAUCGUAAAACUCUGUUAUUAGGGAAGAACAUAUGUGUAAGUAACUGUGCACAUCUUGACGGUACCUAAUCAGAAAGCCACGGCUAACUACGUG
RNAcentral lists this ribosomal RNA (496 nucleotides) under uncultured bacterium. Its description in RNAcentral is "partial 16S ribosomal RNA". It matches the Rfam family "Bacterial small subunit ribosomal RNA", at positions 29 to 507 of the family's 1533-position model. The record is from RNAcentral.